This 130-nucleotide small RNA is filed under the name Klebsiella michiganensis. RNAcentral describes it as "RtT sRNA". It matches the Rfam family "RtT RNA". Rfam says of the family: This family represents a bacterial cis-regulatory element known as RtT RNA. The exact function of RtT is unknown although it is thought that it may be involved in changing the cellular response in relation to amino acid starvation. Lineage: Bacteria; Pseudomonadati; Pseudomonadota; Gammaproteobacteria; Enterobacterales; Enterobacteriaceae. The record is from RNAcentral.
AUUCAUCCCAUGCGGGAAGGAUGAGAAGCUUCGACUAAGGUUCGAUUCGAGCGAAGCGAGAAAGCGUUGCCGCAGGCAACGACCCGAAGGGCGAGGCGCAACGCGCCGAGUAAUCCUUCCCCCACCACCA